RNAcentral lists this ribosomal RNA (253 nucleotides) under uncultured bacterium. Its description in RNAcentral is "partial 16S ribosomal RNA". It matches the Rfam family "Bacterial small subunit ribosomal RNA", at positions 524 to 776 of the family's 1533-position model. The record is from RNAcentral.
UACGUAGGGCGCAAGCGUUGUCCGGAUUCACUGGGUGUAAAGGGUGCGCAGGCGGGAAAGUAAGUUAGAGGUGAAAUCUCACAGCUCAACUGUGAAACUGCCUUUGAUACUGCUUUUCUUGAGUUAGGGAGAGGUUGAUGGAAUUCCAGGUGUAGCGGUGAAAUGCGUAGAUAUCUGGAGGAACACCAGAGGCGAAGGCGGCCUGCUGGGCUGCACCUGACGCUGAGCCGCGAAAGCCAGGGGAGCGAACGGG